UACGAAUUGUGCGAACGUUAUUCGGAAUCACUGGGCUUAAAGGGUGUGUAGGCGGCCAUGAAGGUCUGAUGUGAAAUCCCACGGCUCAACCGUGGAAUUGCGUUGGAAACCACAUGGCUUGAGUAGGACAGAGGUGAGCGGAACUGAUGGUGGAGCGGUGAAAUGCGUUGAUAUCAUCAGGAACACCGGUGGCGAAAGCGGCUCACUGGGUCCUAACUGACGCUGAGACACGAAAGCCAGGGGAGCAAACGGG
Molecule: ribosomal RNA, 253 nt
Filed under: uncultured bacterium
Lineage: Bacteria
Description: partial 16S ribosomal RNA
Rfam family: Bacterial small subunit ribosomal RNA
Source: RNAcentral